RNAcentral lists this ribosomal RNA (512 nucleotides) under uncultured bacterium. RNAcentral describes it as "partial 16S ribosomal RNA". It matches the Rfam family "Bacterial small subunit ribosomal RNA", at positions 28 to 507 of the family's 1533-position model. The record is from RNAcentral.
GACGAACGCUGGCGGCGUGCCUAAUACAUGCAAGUCGAGCGAGCGGAACUAACAGAUUUACUUCGGUAAUGACGUUAGGAAAGCGAGCGGCGGAUGGGUGAGUAACACGUGGGGAACCUGCCCCAUAGUCUGGGAUACCACUUGGAAACAGGUGCUAAUACCGGAUAAGAAAGCAGAUCGCAUGAUCAGCUUUUAAAAGGCGGCGUAAGCUGUCGCUAUGGGAUGGCCCCGCGGUGCAUUAGCUAGUUGGUAAGGUAAAGGCUUACCAAGGCGAUGAUGCAUAGCCGAGUUAAGAGACUGAUCGGCCACAUUGGGACUGAGACACGGCCCAAACUCCUACGGGAGGCAGCAGUAGGGAAUCUUCCACAAUGGACGCAAGUCUGAUGGAGCAACGCCGCGUGAGUGAAGAAGGUUUUCGGAUCGUAAAGCUCUGUUGUUGGUGAAGAAGGAUAGAGGUAGUAACUGGCCUUUAUUUGACGGUAAUCAACCAGAAAGUCACGGCUAACUACGUG